AGCUUCUUGUAUAAACACUGUGCUAAAAUUUAAAAAAAACUAGGAUCCUAUCUUGGGUUUUUUGUAAUAAUGCUAACAGAGUACACACAGGAAAAAGAGUAACUGCACCGGCCCCCAAAGACUGGGGUGGACCUCUUUCUUAAUGUCCAGUGUACUUUGCCUUAAGAUUUGGUGCAGUAUUA
Jaculus jaculus (lesser Egyptian jerboa) is the source of this 182-nucleotide small nucleolar RNA. NCBI's taxonomy places the organism in Eukaryota, Metazoa, Chordata, Mammalia, Rodentia, Dipodidae. The record is from Ensembl.